CUCAAAUUGUCUGCAUCGGGAAGAUUAUUAACAACAAACAGAACAAAUAUAAGUCUGAUGUGAGCGUGUGCAGGAGCACAAACAAUCCCUGUUUGUUAUCUCUGUCCUCUCUAAUCUGCAGCCUCCAACAGCUGCCCUCAGUUUGAUGUUCUGCAGGACUUAACGUGAUGCUGCUUGACUUUCAGCUCUCUUUGCAUGUCCUUCAUAGCUUAUACAACCUUCCUUUUUCUGUCUGAUGAAGCAGUCCUUCAGAUCUUCACUGUUCCAGCCUUCAGUCAGUGUUUCUUCUCAUUGACAGGAAGCCCCAAAACGUCUGCCCCUGUACCAGCUGUUUCCAUUGUGUUGUGAAGGUGUGGAAGGAUUUCUGAAUGGACCAAUGGGGUCCAAGACUUCCAAGGAAUCAGAGGCCUCAGAGCCAUUUUUAUUUCUAAAGCCCGGUGUGGGUGUGGCUGCUGAAGCCUGAGUUCAGGUGCAUUUUGCUGUAAUGUAAGGCUGCGCUCAGAAGUGAGAUGCAGAGUUCCUGCCUUCACAGAGCCGUGAGAUUCUUUAAAUACACGGCAGAGAAUCAGUGAUGACCCCGAAUGAGAUAUGCUUUAAACUGAAACGCUGUCCUUCCUGUGGGACUGAAGCUCUGGAUUCACCUCUCUGACCUCUGAGCUUUAAUUACAGAGAAACAGAGCACGAGUUAAGAAGACUGGAGUUAUUUAAAGCCACUGAGACCUGACGACACAACCCAGAGCUGCAGCAGUCAAACCUUCCAGCACCAACACACAGUUUUUCUGGUUCAGGAUCAAGCCAGCGGACUCACAUUAAUGGAAGCUGCAAACAGCAACAGGAACUCCAAAGUAACCGACAUGCAGGAGAAGAACAAAGACAGGAAAGGAGAUCAGGAUCAGAGCCCCUGGCCCGGGCCACACUGAGCGCUGCAGCCCUGCUUCAUGGUGGCAAUCAGCUUUUGCACCGGCGACCGUGCCGCCAAGGCCACACGGAGACUGAUUUUUAGUCACGCACACACGUGAGUGGAACUGAUGAGUGAGGAGAGCACGUCUCUCGCCCCCUUUAGCAGGUGUAGUCGCACAGCCGCCGUGUUUGCAGUGUUUCCUACAUGAGUGUGUGUGUGUGCGUGUGUGUUCGUGUUGAGUAUCAUGAUAUUUAUCGCGUGUUCAGUUGUACGGGUUCUUGUGAUAUUUUGAGAUCCAGUGCGUUUGUUCAUGGAAGACUUGAAGAAACAUUUGUUCUUAAAUAUUCUGAUAAACUUAUAUCCUGCCAAACUGUUGUAUAGCAACCACAGCGCACGUUGGUGUGUAACUCCCUGCCGUGUGUCUUCAUAUGGAUAAGAACUUACAAUAACAUGGACAUCGUCUUCAUAUGAUUAUUUUCUAAGUGACUUUGUAAAUGAUAGAGGUAGAUCUGAUCCUGGUGUUGAGUUUAUUUUUCUGCAGUGUAACCAUGGACUAAUUCUUAGAGAGUUCCUGUAAACUUGUUGUCUUAUGGUUUGCUCCUGUUCGGGGAGAAGCACAAAGUGAUUGUAC
Long non-coding RNA from Astatotilapia calliptera (eastern happy), 1532 nucleotides. NCBI's taxonomy places the organism in Eukaryota, Metazoa, Chordata, Actinopteri, Cichliformes, Cichlidae. The record is from Ensembl.